Molecule: ribosomal RNA, 2211 nt
Filed under: marine metagenome
Description: bacterial LSU rRNA
Rfam family: Archaeal large subunit ribosomal RNA
Source: RNAcentral
GCUGACCGGCGUCGUAUCGUCCGAUUCGAAAAUUGGCCCAUGGAGUUUCUUUCACUGGCAAGGUUAAGCACGCAAGUGCGAAGCCGCAGGGAAACCGACAGUCCGCAGCAUUGCAAGGGACGGAGUGUGCUCGCUCGGAGUCAGUGGAUGGAUACCCGAAGCCGGUCGAUCUAUGCCUGGGCAGGGUGAAGCCCUCUGGAAAGAGGGUGGAGGCCCGAACCGGUACUGAUGUGCAAAUCGUUCGGAUGACCUGGGUAUAGGGGCGAAAGACCAAUCUAGGCCGGCAAUAGCUGGUUCCUCUCGAAACUGCUCGAAGGCAGACCUCCGUGGAGACGGGGCGUGCGGUAGAGCACUGAUUGCGUGUUUAGGGAGCGAGAGUUCUCGGCAUGCUGUCAAACUCCGAAUGUGCGUCCGUCGCAGAAGCGGGGCAGUGAGGGCACUGGGGUAAGCUUAGUGUCCGCGAGGAGAACAAUCCAGACCGAAGUUAAGGUCCCAAAGUGACCGCUAAGUGUUAAAGAACAAAUGGUGUCUGGCGGCAGAGACAGCUGGGAGGUUGGCUUAGAGGCAGCCAUCCUUUAAAGAGUUCGUAACAGAUCACCAGUCGAGUUUCUGGGCCCAGAAAAUGGACGGGACUAAGCGGUUCACCGAUACUUCGGGCCACCGAAAGGUGAUGCGGUAGAGAGGCGUCGUGCGUGGAUGGAAGCAGGGGCGUGAGUUCCUGUGGACCGCGUUCGAAUGAUAAUCAUGGGAAGAGUAGUAGCGUAGACGGGUGAGAAUCCCGUCCGCCGUAGGGGCUAGGGUUCCUCGACGAUGUUCAUCAGUCGAGGGUUAGUCGGUCCUAAGGUUUCCCCUAACAGGAGAAAUCGAAAGGGAAGCAGGUUAAUAUUCCUGCACCAGUCCGUAUUUUGUCCAGUUCUUGACACAUCGGGUGCGACGGAGCACUCCUGUCGGAGUGUUGCCGGCCGCGAUAAAGCCGUGGAGAACCGUAAUGGUGAGAAGCAGCCUAAGCGACCGGGAGGCGGAGUAUUUCGCUUCCGUUCUAUCCUGGUGUCCGUGAAAAGAGAGCUGGAGCCGUGCUGACUGACCGUACCGAGAUCUGACACAGGUGCCCCUAGGUGAGUAGCCUAAGGCGUCGCGGCAUAAUCAAGGCAAGGGAAUUCGGCAAAUUGGCCCCGUACCUUUGGUAGAAGGGGUGCCAGCCUUGCAGAAGGCUGGUCGCAGUGACCAGGGAGCUCCGACUGUUUACUAAAAACACAGGUGGCUGCUAGUCCGUAAGGAUGUGUAUAGCCGCUGAAUCCUGCCCAGUGGCGGUAUCUGAAACCCGGUUUCACCCGGACGAAGGACCGCUAAACGGCGGGGGUAACUAUGACCCUCUUAAGGUAGCGUAAUACCUUGUCGCUUAAUUGGCGACUUGCACGAAUGGCCUAACGAGAGCUCUACUGUCCCUGCCUUGAGCCCGAUGAAAUUGACGUACUGGCGCACAGUCCAGUACGUCCCAGCCGCAAGCGAAGACCCCGUGGAGCUUUACUGCAGCCUGUCGUUGUGGUACGAGUUGUAAUGUGCAGGGUAGACGGGAGCCAUCGAAACCUGGGCGCAAGCUCAGGUGGAGGCAACGAUGAAACACCGUCCUUUACGAUCCGUCCCGCUAACCCCUUAGGGGGAACACCGAUAGGUGGGCAGUUUGGGUGGGGCGCCACUCCCUCGAAAAAAUAACAAGGGAGCUCAAAGGUCAGCUUAGGUAGGUCAGAAAUCUACCGUAAAGUGCAAGGGCAAAAGCUGGCUUGACGUGGUUUGGCACCACAACAAACCACGAUGCGAAAGCAGGACCUAGCGAACCAACCAGCCCCGUUAGUAGGGGCGGUUGAUAACAGAAAAGUUACCCCGGGGAUAACUGAGUUGUCUGGAGCAAGAGCCCACAUCGACCUCCAGGCUUGCUACUUCGAUGUCGUCUCUCUCUAUCCUGGGUGUGCAGAAGCACCCAAGGGUGGGGUUGUUCGCCCAUUAAAAGGGAUCGUGAGAUGGGUUUAGUCCGUCGUGAGACAGGAUUGUUGCUAUGUGCUGGGACCGUUUUGUGCCUGAAGGAAAGGGCCCCUUAGUACGAGAGGAACGGGGGCUCGCAGCCACUAGUUUACCAGUUGUCCGACAGGGCAUUGCUGGGCAGCCACGCUGCAAGGGAUAAGAGCUGAAAGCAUCUAAGCUCGAAACCCACCC